RNAcentral lists this ribosomal RNA (380 nucleotides) under uncultured eukaryote. RNAcentral describes it as "partial 18S ribosomal RNA". It matches the Rfam family "Eukaryotic small subunit ribosomal RNA", at positions 592 to 976 of the family's 1831-position model. The record is from RNAcentral.
CAAUAGCGUAUAUUAAAGUUGUUGCGGUUAAAAAGCUCGUAGUUGGAUUUCUGCCGAGGACGACCGGUCCGCCCUCUGGGUGAGUAUCUGGCUCGGCCUGGGCAUCUUCUUGGAGAACGUAGCUGCACUUGACUGUGUGGUGCGGUAUCCGGGACUUUUACUUUGAGGAAAUUAGAGUGUUUCAAGCAGGCUUACGCCUUGAAUACAUUAGCAUGGAAUAAUAAGAUAGGACCUCGGUUCUAUUUUGUUGGUUUCUAGAGCUGAGGUAAUGAUUAAUAGGGAUAGUUGGGGGCAUUCGUAUUUAACUGUCAGAGGUGAAAUUCUUGAAUUUGUUAAAGACGGACUACUGCGAAAGCAUUUGCCAAGGAUGUUUUCAUUGA